GUGCUAUAAACCGCUGGCCAGGGCUACUGGUCGUUAAAAACGAUAAACUAGGGAAAGCGCCCCAUUGCCUGGCACGUGGUGGGUGCGCAAUAACUGUUAGGUGACUUUCCUCGAGUGGCUUAUCAAAGCUUUACCCAAGCUGAGAAACACUAGAGCAUCAGUAGGAUGAGACUCUCUAUGGACUCCUUGAUCUCUCCCCUCUAAGCUCUCCUCUCAUUGAGGACUCACUGGCAGUCUGUUAUAAUAUCUGAACAUUCUACUUCAAAUCAGCCCUGCACGUUGGAAGGGCUGGCUUCUGUCCCCUUGAAGGGGAAGAAAGAUUUGAACAUACCCCAGCCUGAGGAUGCCACUAUAGCCUGCGUGUUCUCAUGUGCUAAUGGCUAGGAGCUGUGACUUUCCAUUGAGCCGGGACCCAGCCAGAUCUCAAAACAAGGAGCCAGGAGAGACACCUCAACUAUGUUCUCCUUCACCCCUUCAGUCUGUUGCCGGUGCUUGCCUUUGGCUGAGCUCUACUGAAAACCAGAAGACAAGAAAGUUCAGCUUGAUGUACUGGAUGGUCCAAACCUGGCUUCUAGGCUGUGGAGCAGGUUGGAGAAAACGUAGGGAAGAUUAGGGUGGGAGAAGGAAGCUAUUCAGCAUAAAGAGAGAUCUCCAUACUCAGCAUUUCACUGCCUUCUUACUUGAGGUCCAGUUUUUGCAUUUUCAGUUGCCUACCCAGCCCUUCAGCUUGAAUGUCCCACAUCAGAUUCAAGAUGUCCAAACUUCCUCACCAAGCUAUUAAUAGCUGUUUUCCCAGAGUCCCUUGAUUUUAUCAGUGGCAUCAUAGUUCUUCUUACAAUCAUUUGGACUCUGGUUCAUUAUAUCUCAUUAUUUAUAAAAUCUUUAGUUACCUAAAGGAUUGUGUUUCUGUUGCUAGCUACUAUCCCCAAUACUCAGAUGAUCACAGUGACAUUCAAACUGGUCUCACUGUCUGCAGGAUCUACCCUCUGCAAUCCACACUUCAAUACCAGAUACUCUUCCUAGUUCACCACAGUCAGCUGUCACUGUUGUUUACGUAGCUCCACUCCUGAAUGAAAAUGGACCCACUCAAUCGAAGGCCACUCACUGCUUUCUCAUCUCCCAGGGCGCCCUUACAUGCCUCUGGCACCUGCCAGACUCUUUUUUCAAUCCUACUCUGAACAUGUCAUGUUCACUUCUCUCCUUCUGUGCCUUUUCUCUUUAUGUCUGCCCCCUGCCCACAAUGUCCAGUGUCCUCUCUGACCAUUGAAAUUUUUUCCACAUCGUCAGGUCUCAUGUUUCAUCUGUUUCAUGAAUCAAAACCUGGCUACAGCAGACCACUCUGAUUUCCCCUUCUCUGAAUUUAUUUAGUAUGUAGGGCAGGGAUGUCCAAUCUUUUGGCUUCCCUGGGCCACAUUGGAAGGAAAAUUGUCUUGGGCCACAAAUAAAAUACACUAACACUAAUGAUAGCUGAUGAGCUAAAACACACACACACAUACACAGACACACACACACAUUUCAUAAUGUUUUGAGAAAGUUUACGAAUUUGGUUUGGGCCGCAUUCGAAGCUGUCUUGAGCUACAUGCUGCCCACCAGCCAUGGGUUGGACAAGGUGAUGUAAAGCCUCUGCCUUUCAUUUUGAUAUAUAUCCCUAGGUACUUGCAGAUAGGAGCUUCCAAAAUGAUCCUAAGUUACACCCAUGGUUGAGGGAGAAAUAUAUUCAAAGCAGAUUGAAUUACUGGUAGUUGUCCAAAGAAAUGUACUUACACGUGUUAGCAUAAAUGGUUAUGGAGGUCUAGGGAAGGAUAGUUGCGGUAGAUGCCUGAGAAAAGAGGGUUCCCUCAUUCCUUUGCUGUGUAGUCAUGCAUGAUACACAAGUUCUAAAAAGACCUGGCUGUGGGCAGAAGCUGACAUCCCAUUUCUACAAGGGAGCAUGGGAAACAGAGAAGGAAAAGCUGCUUAAGAAUUAACCCUCCCAACAAAGUUUCAGAUGGACAGGAGGAAUAAUUUCCACUGAUCUCUUGCACAGCAUGGUGACUAUAGUCAAUUAUAAUGUAUUGUACAUUUCUAAAGUCCUAAAAGAGUGGACUUGAAAUGUUCUCACCACAAAGAAAUAAGUAUGUGACAUGAUGGAUAUGUUAAUUAGCCCGAUUUGAUCAUUAAACAAUGUAUACAUGCCUCAAAACUUCACACUAUACCCCAUACAUGUAUACAAUUAUUGUCUAUUAAAAAUAAAGAAAUUUCUAAAAGAGAACUAAUGCCAUCAAGUAAACAAUAAAUAAUUGAAACAAGACGGCAUACAUAAUGUGGGUAGGGUCAGUCCAAACAGUGGGAACCAAACAAAAUUUUGAUAAGCUUAAUCAUCUCGAUAGCUUACAAGGCCAAUGUUGUAUGAAGAAAAACUGCAGUGUUAAAAGGUUUACUAGGACAAGUACAUAUGCCUAAAAAAAUAAAGUUCUGGGAUCAUUUCCACUGCUAAGUUGAGGAAAAUUAGUUUAAUAAUCAAGAGGUUCUGGUUAUUAAAUCUUUCUAAGUUGCUUCGGGAAUAUCAAUAGAUUUUCUAAUUGCUUCUGAGUGUCAGUAGAUUUUCAUUGGUAUCAGAGGGAGAAAACCAGUAGAAUUAUCUAAAGCUAGUGCUUUAGUUUAUCCACAUAGUCCAUCUCUACUGGAAAACCUGAAGAGACCAUGGUGCUAAGCACAGAAGAAUAAUUAAUCAAACCACUGAGACCUUAUGUGACAAAACUCUUUAAAUGCAGAGACACUAGAACUGGAUCAAUAUUUUUAGAUCCAAAGAGUGAAAAGGAAAGCUUACUGCUUUUUAAAAUUUUCUAUACAUUUGGCAUUUUAAUAUAAACUAUAUACCAUUAUAAGUCAAAUCUUUAUAACUAAUACAAGUCACAAAUCCAAAUAAACACGUUUUCUUCAUAUUUGC
Molecule: long non-coding RNA, 2929 nt
Filed under: Homo sapiens (human)
Lineage: Eukaryota; Metazoa; Chordata; Mammalia; Primates; Hominidae
Description: non-protein coding lnc-ELMOD2-3:1
Source: RNAcentral